This 104-nucleotide microRNA precursor is filed under the name Prunus dulcis (almond). Its description in RNAcentral is "sRNA ncRNA". The record is from RNAcentral. Lineage: Eukaryota; Viridiplantae; Streptophyta; Magnoliopsida; Rosales; Rosaceae.
UGCGCGACGAAGUUACUGUUUCGUCGCGCAAAGUAACUUUGAGCGACGAUGUAUUGUUGUCGCGCAAAUUACUUUGCGCGACGAAACAAUAACUUCGUCGCGCA